Molecule: ribosomal RNA, 494 nt
Filed under: uncultured bacterium
Lineage: Bacteria
Description: partial 16S ribosomal RNA
Rfam family: Bacterial small subunit ribosomal RNA
Source: RNAcentral
GACGGACGCUGGCGGCGUGCUUAACACAUGCAAGUCGAACGGUGAAGCGCCUUCCUUUUUGGUGGGUGUGGAUGAGUGGCGAACGGGUGAGUAACACGUGAGUAACCUGCCCCCUUCUUCUGGAUAACCGCAUGAAAGUGUGGCUAAUACGGGAUAUUCUGGGUCUGUCGCAUGAUGGGUCUGGGAAAGAUAUUGUUUCGGUGGGGGAUGGGCUCGCGGCCUAUCAGCUUGUUGGUGGGGUGAUGGCCUACCAAGGCGGUGACGGGUAGCCGGCCUGAGAGGGUGGACGGUCACACUGGGACUGAGACACGGCCCAGACUCCUACGGGAGGUAGCAGUGGGGAAUAUUGCACAAUGGGCGCAAGCCUGAUGCAGCGACGCCGCGUGAGGGAUGGAGGCCUUCGGGUUGUGAACCUCUUUCGCCAGUGAAGCAGGCCUGCCUCGUUUGUGGGUGGGUUGACGGUAGCUGGAUAAGAAGCGCCGGCUAACUACGUG